GGGGCUAUAGCCAAAUGGUUAAGGCAGGGAGCAUUCACUCCUGAUUAAUGGUUCGAAUCCAUUUAGCCUCU
Molecule: transfer RNA, 71 nt
Filed under: Bacillus sp. Leaf75
Lineage: Bacteria; Bacillati; Bacillota; Bacilli; Caryophanales; Bacillaceae
Description: tRNA-OTHER
Rfam family: tRNA
About the family: Transfer RNA (tRNA) molecules are approximately 80 nucleotides in length. Their secondary structure includes four short double-helical elements and three loops (D, anti-codon, and T loops). Further hydrogen bonds mediate the characteristic L-shaped molecular structure. tRNAs have two regions of fundamental functional importance: the anti-codon, which is responsible for specific mRNA codon recognition, and the 3' end, to which the tRNAs corresponding amino acid is attached (by aminoacyl-tRNA synthetases). tRNAs cope with the degeneracy of the genetic code in two manners: having more than one tRNA (with a specific anti-codon) for a particular amino acid; and 'wobble' base-pairing, i.e. permitting non-standard base-pairing at the 3rd anti-codon position.
Source: RNAcentral